This 683-nucleotide ribosomal RNA is filed under the name uncultured bacterium. RNAcentral's name for it is "bacterial SSU rRNA". It matches the Rfam family "Bacterial small subunit ribosomal RNA", at positions 126 to 807 of the family's 1533-position model. The record is from RNAcentral.
CUGCCCCUGUCAGGGGGACAACCCGCCGAAAGGCGGGCUAAACCCGCGUACAUGCCACCGGGGCAUCCCGGAGGCAGGAAAGGCUUCGGCCGGACAGGGAUGGGCAUGCGGCGCAUUAGGCAGUAGGCGGGGUAACGGCCCACCUAACCGACGAUGCGUAGGGGUUCUGAGAGGAAGGUCCCCCACACUGGUACUGAGACACGGACCAGACUCCUACGGGAGGCAGCAGUGAGGAAUAUUGGUCAAUGGUCGGGAGACUGAACCAGCCAAGCCGCGUGAGGGAGGAAGGUACAGAGUAUCGUAAACCUCUUUUGUCAGGGAACAAAGACUGGGACGCGUCCCCGGAUGAGUGUACCUGAAGAAAAAGCAUCGGCUAACUCCGUGCCAGCAGCCGCGGUAAUACGGAGGAUGCGAGCGUUAUCCGGAUUUAUUGGGUUUAAAGGGUGCGCAGGCGGUCUGUUAAGUCAGCGGUCAAAGCCCGGGGCUCAACCCCGGCCCGCCGUUGAAACCGGCAGUCUCGAGUUGGAGAGAAGUAUGCGGAAUGCGCGGUGUAGCGGUGAAAUGCAUAGAUAUCGCGCAGAACUCCGAUUGCGAAGGCAGCAUGCCGGCUCCACACUGACGCUGAGGCACGAAAGCGUGGGUAUCGAACAGGAUUAGAUACCCUGGUAGUCCACGCAGUAAAC